CUGGAAGCUGCUCCCUCCACUCCCACCUGUGCCUUUAUGCGAAUCUUUUUUGCUGUGGUCAGAAAAAGAGAUGUAAUCAAGAAGUAAGAGUCAGAUGUGACAUUGUUGGCUUUGAACCUGAAGGAAGGCAACCGCCAAAGAAUGUGUGUGGAUUAUCGAAGCUGGAAAAGACAAGAAAACUGAUUUCCUCCUAGAACCUCCACAAGAAAACUCAGCCCUUCUAAUUUGAUUUCUUCCAAAUAAGACUUGUG
Molecule: long non-coding RNA, 251 nt
Filed under: Mustela putorius furo (domestic ferret)
Lineage: Eukaryota; Metazoa; Chordata; Mammalia; Carnivora; Mustelidae
Description: lncRNA (ENSMPUG00000026404.1)
Source: RNAcentral